This 398-nucleotide ribosomal RNA is filed under the name uncultured bacterium. RNAcentral's name for it is "bacterial SSU rRNA". It matches the Rfam family "Bacterial small subunit ribosomal RNA", at positions 28 to 425 of the family's 1533-position model. The record is from RNAcentral.
GACGAACGCUGGCGGCGUGCCUAACACAUGCAAGUCGAACGGGACCAGGGGCAACUCUGGUCCAGUGGCGGACGGGUGCGUAACACGUGAGGAACAUGACCUUCGGCGGGGGAGUAGCCGGCCCAACGGCCGGGUAAUACCGCGUACGACCACAUGGGGACAUCCCUGAGUGGUGAAAGCAGCAAUGCGCCGAUGGAGUGCCUCGCGGCCUAUCAGCUAGUUGGUGAGGUAACGGCNCACCAAGGCGACGACGGGUAGCUGGUCUGAGAGGAUGGCCAGCCACAUUGGGACUGAGACACGGCCCAGACUCCGUACGGGAGGCAGCAGUGUGGAAUAUUGCGCAAUGGACGAAAGUCUGACGCAGCGACGCCGCGUGUGGGAUGACGGUCUUCGGAUUG